This is a long non-coding RNA of Helianthus annuus (common sunflower), 721 nucleotides long. RefSeq lists it as uncharacterized. Lineage: Eukaryota; Viridiplantae; Streptophyta; Magnoliopsida; Asterales; Asteraceae. The record is from RefSeq and is a predicted model, not a curated record. The transcript has 2 exons.
AUGAUGAUGGAUUGUGAGUUAUUUGAAGAUGAUGAUGAUAAAUAAUAAUAAUAAUAAUAAUAAUAAUAAUAAUAAUAAUAAUAAUAAUAAUAAUAAUAAUAAUAAUAAUAAAUAUAGGAUAAGAUUACCAAAAUACCCUUACCUAUAAGGGUCAAACUACCGUUGACUGACGCCGGGGGGUAAAGUUGCGACAUAACAGCAAACGUUGGGGCGUAAAAUUGCAAUUAUUUCCUUAGGGGGUAGACAUGCCAAUUGCCCUAAACCACAGGAGGGUAAACUUUGGUGACUCCAUCCUUCAAAACCGUUCACUCGCUUUUUGGAAAUGUUCGCAAACCGUGAGCUCAUACUUUACCCAUUUUACGCUUUAAACACUAUUUGAGUUGCAACAUGUAUCCGUAUUAAAAUCACAAUCACAUACAAUCAAUCUUAUGCAAACACUCAAUCCUUAAACAUGCUUGCUUGUUAUGCUACUUGUUUGUAGUUUGUACCCCAACGGCCGACUAACACCUAACAAUUCUUACAGCAUGUUUUACUUAAUUAGUGUUCUCAGUUGUAGUUGUUUUAAAAUCAAAGUUUUACUUAAUUAGUGUUCCCAAUUGUUUGAUUGAUUAAACCUCAAACAGAAACUACAUAAGGCGAGCAUCUAGAUGAUGAGCAAUUAGAGCCCGAUCAUGUUCAUACUUCGUGACCUUAUUAACCACUACUAGCAGACAUUCCUCUA